This 421-nucleotide ribosomal RNA is filed under the name uncultured bacterium. Its description in RNAcentral is "partial 16S ribosomal RNA". It matches the Rfam family "Bacterial small subunit ribosomal RNA", at positions 356 to 774 of the family's 1533-position model. RNAcentral also lists the same sequence under 1 other name. The record is from RNAcentral.
GAGGAAUAUUGGACAAUGGGUGAGAGCCUGAUCCAGCCAUCCCGCGUGAAGGACGACGGCCCUAUGGGUUGUAAACUUCUUUUGUACAGGGAUAAACCUUUCCACGUGUGGAAAGCUGAAGGUACUGUACGAAUAAGCACCGGCUAACUCCGUGCCAGCAGCCGCGGUAAUACGGAGGGUGCAAGCGUUAUCCGGAUUUAUUGGGUUUAAAGGGUCCGUAGGCGGAUCUGUAAGUCAGUGGUGAAAUCUCAUAGCUUAACUAUGAAACUGCCAUUGAUACUGCAGGUCUUGAGUAAGGUAGAAGUAGCUGGAAUAAGUAGUGUAGCGGUGAAAUGCAUAGAUAUUACUUAGAACACCAAUUGCGAAGGCAGGUUACUAUGUCUUAACUGACGCUGAUGGACGAAAGCGUGGGGAGCGAACA